CGUAGUGUAGCUUAACCAAAGCAUCUUGCUUACACCUUAAAAAUGUCCGUUAAAACCAGACCACUCCGA
Molecule: transfer RNA, 69 nt
Filed under: Ansonia malayana (Malaya stream toad)
Lineage: Eukaryota; Metazoa; Chordata; Amphibia; Anura; Bufonidae
Description: tRNA-Val
Rfam family: tRNA
About the family: Transfer RNA (tRNA) molecules are approximately 80 nucleotides in length.
Source: RNAcentral